CAAAAGAUCGAACGAGGAGAUUCAUCGUCAACGGUUCUGGCUCCCGAUGGUGCGCGAUGCCCCGAAUUGUUGGGCCAUUAAUGGUUCCACGGCGAGGGCACGCCACCUUCGGCCUGAAUGUUCCGGUGCCGUAGACGUGCACUUCUCCCCUAGUAGAAACGUCGCGAUCCGUUGUGUGUCGGUUUACGGCCCGAGCGGGCGCCUGACAGCGUAUUUCGCUGUCAGACCCUCGGUCGCCUGACCGGCUGCACGACGGUACUCCCAUGGUAUCGGGCCGCAACCAAUCCGUUAUCGAAUCGGUGUGCGUCAGGCCCGCCGCAAGCUCGAUCAGUUCUUACCCGGUGGUUACGGACCCAGUGCCGUCCCCGGGCCUGAUCAGCUGUUAGCAGGCGGUGUCCUCGGACUGGCCAAGCUUCGAAUUACCGUUCAGCGACGCUACUGCUUUGGGUACUCUCAGGACCCGUCUUGAAACACGGACCAAGGAGUCUAACAUGUGCGCGAGUCAUUGGGAUGCAUAAACCUAAAGGCGAAAUGAAAGUGAAGGUCGUCCUUUGCGUCGAUCUAGGGAGGAUGGGCCGCGUUACGAGGCGGCCCCGCACUCCCGGGGCGUCUCGUUCUCAUCGCGAGAAGAGGCGCACCCAGAGCGUACACGUUGGG
RNAcentral lists this ribosomal RNA (657 nucleotides) under Monoeca mourei. RNAcentral describes it as "partial 28S ribosomal RNA". It matches the Rfam family "Eukaryotic large subunit ribosomal RNA", at positions 520 to 813 of the family's 3401-position model. The record is from RNAcentral. Lineage: Eukaryota; Metazoa; Arthropoda; Insecta; Hymenoptera; Apidae.